This is an RNA transcript of Branchiostoma belcheri (Belcher's lancelet), 1406 nucleotides long. It is a transcript of the gene named breast cancer metastasis-suppressor 1-like protein, with no coding region annotated. NCBI's taxonomy places the organism in Eukaryota, Metazoa, Chordata, Leptocardii, Amphioxiformes, Branchiostomatidae. The record is from RefSeq and is a predicted model, not a curated record. The transcript is spliced from 12 exons.
CUAGCGGAACGCCGAAGGAGUGCCGUGUGUGUGUGUUUUUUCUUGGAAAAAUAUUUCGCCCAACUUGAACGUAAAAACUGGAGCUCAAGAUGCCUGUUGUGGACGGGAACGUGGACAGCGAGGGAGAGGACAUGGAUCAGAGUACCCCAGACAGCGACAAGAGUAACUCUGAAGAGUCUGCGACGUCGUCGGCGUCCGAAGAAGACGACGAGAGUUCAGCCGGGCUUUUCUUCUGCUUUGCAGAGCUGGACGAGGAGGACUGUGACCGGAGGCGGACGGAGUGCAUGGCAGACAUGGCCGACCUGGAGAGGCAGUUCACCGACCUCAAGGAGCAGUUGUACAGAGAACGGAUGAGCCAGAUUGAGGCAAAGUUAGAAGAGGCGAAGAUGGGCUGUGCACCAGAGUACGUGGAGCCGCUCACACAGCUCCGGAUCAACAUGCAGACUCGCACGGAAGUCGCAGGUAUUGUAAGAGAACUGAAGAUACAGAACAUCAGAAACCAGUAUGAAGCAGAGCUACAGGCAACAAGACAACACUUUGAGAGCGAAAAGUUGCUUUUGGUGGAUGAGAUGAGAAAUGAGAUUGAGGAAAAGAUCCGGAGACUGGAAGAGGACAGGCACAGCGCAGAUCUAUCUACAGACCUGUGGGCGGAGUCAGAACAAGUCAAGCGCAGCCGGAGAAAAACAGACCCGCUGCAUCCAAAGAAGAAAAAGACAGUCACCAUUUCUGGUCCAUUCUUGGUCUAUCAGCUGAAGGAAAAUGAUAUCCUGGAAGACUGGACAGCUAUCAGAAAGAACUCUCGUCAGCCGACCGCCAUACCCCAGAAAAAGAUGACGGUAGCGAGAAGAAGAUUGCCUGCCGGCGGCCACUCCCACCGACGAGAGAACGGUAUGGGGGAUCGUAUGGACUACUAACAUGCCCUCCCUCCGUAGGAAAGCAGUGGGGAAGGGAAGACAACCCGGCAAGCGGAAGACAACCCAUUGACGUCACCGACAUCAUUUCUGUCAUCAAUUCCUGUUGGAGCAGCAUGUCAGCAGAACGUACUGCACCUGUGCAAAACCAGUAAUGUAUUGUACAUAGCAUUUCAGCAGAACGUCUCAUAUAAGGUCGUAUUCGCGUAUAUAAGGUUUAACCCCGUCUGUAGUUUCCAAAUGUUGGAAAGUUAUCGUCUGCAACAGGCAAAAUUCUGAAUCAACGUUGACCAGUAUGUUCUGCCGACAUGCUUGUUAGAGCAAGAUAUUUCUGCAGGCUAGUCCAUUUUUUAAUGUUUAGGAGGGAUGGAAUAUUUGUAUCAUGCGUGUAACAACAAGAUUUGGGAGAGCAUUACGGCAAAACAUUGACAAGAGAAACUGAGAUGGUAUAUUGAUGUAAAGGUAUUGUGUACUUGCCAGUUAACUAGGAAAAAA